GACGAACCGUGCGAACGUUAUUCGGAAUUAUUGGGCGUAAAGCGCACGUAGGUGGUCUGUUAUGUCAGAUGUGAAAGCCCUCGGCUUAACUGAGGAAGUGCACCUGAAACUGGCAGGCUUGAGUACGAAAGAGGGUCGCGGAAUUCCCGGUGUAGAGGUGAAAUUCGUAGAUAUCGGGAGGAACACCGGUGGCGAAGGCGGCGACCUGGUUCGAUACUGACACUGAGGUGCGAAAGCGUGGGGAGCAAACGGG
This 253-nucleotide ribosomal RNA is filed under the name uncultured bacterium. Its description in RNAcentral is "partial 16S ribosomal RNA". It matches the Rfam family "Bacterial small subunit ribosomal RNA", at positions 524 to 776 of the family's 1533-position model. The record is from RNAcentral.